RNAcentral lists this long non-coding RNA (668 nucleotides) under Olea europaea subsp. europaea. Lineage: Eukaryota; Viridiplantae; Streptophyta; Magnoliopsida; Lamiales; Oleaceae. The record is from RNAcentral.
CCAAAUUAUUUUUAAAUAACAAGAUAAACAAAUCCACUGGCGAUCUAACAAAAAUAAUUGCUAUUGCAAGAUCUACUACUAGCGCCACUGUCACCAACAAAAACUACCACCACCACCAUUCCCGCAACCAUCAACACCACCACACCGCUGCCACCACUGCACCAAAAACACCACACAAAAAUCUCCUGCUAUAUCGAAAAGCCCUAAAAUCUCUUGCAACUUCAUUAUCCAACUCCAAUACUUCUAUUCAAAUCACAAAACAUUCACCAGUCACCCCCAACAAUUCUCAAGCUACAGUCUUCCUCUAUAAAUUUCAUAGAUUAUUUCAUUAAAAAAAAACUAUGGUGACGAUUAUUGGAGUUUGUGGUGAUGGUUGGUCAGAUCUGCAGCAAACAGAAAGAAAUCUCGUCGACAGCUGCGUGCAACCUCACAUGGCACUGCAUCUUCCCUCCUUUUUUGUUUCGACUACCUUCCAUCUCUUCUAGAGUAUUUUUGCAGGCUGUAAUUGUAAGGUAGGUAGAUGGAGAGAGAAGUGUAGAGAGAACAGAUUGAGAAGAUGAAGAGAGGAAGAAAAUGGUUGAAAUGGUUUUAGGAUCUGGAAGAAAAAAGAGGUGGGUAUCGAGAGAUAUAGAGAGAAAGGAGAGAGGAAAUUAAUUAGUGUUUAGGAU